RNAcentral lists this ribosomal RNA (497 nucleotides) under uncultured bacterium. RNAcentral's name for it is "partial 16S ribosomal RNA". It matches the Rfam family "Bacterial small subunit ribosomal RNA", at positions 28 to 507 of the family's 1533-position model. The record is from RNAcentral.
GAUGAACGCUGGCGGCGUGCCUAAUACAUGCAAGUCGAGCGAACGGACGAGGCGCUUGCUUCUCUUAUGUUGGCGGCGGACGGGUGAGUACCACGUGGCUAACCUACCUAUAAGACUGGCAUCCCUUCGGGAAACCGGAUCUCGUACCGGAUCUUAUUUUGAACCGCAUGGUUCAACAGUGACAGACGUUCUUGCUGUCACUUGUAGAUAGAUCCUCGCUGCAUUGGCUAGUUGGUAAGGUAACGGCUUACCAAGGCAACGAUGCAUAGCCGACCUGAGAGGGUGAUCGGCCACACUGGAACUGAGACACGGUCCAGACUCCUACGGGAGGCAGCAGUAGGGAAUCUUCCGCAAUGGGCGAAAGCCUGACGGAGCAACGCCGCGUGAGUGAUGAAGGUCUUCGGAUCGUAAAGCUCUGUUAUUAGGGAAGAACAGAUGUGUAAGUAACUGUGCACAUCUUGACGUUACCUAAACAGAAAGCCACGGCUAACUACGUG